UUGCUGUGGCUGAGCCCUGGGGUGAAGACAGGCAGCUAUUCCCAACCCCAGAACCUUUGCUGUCUUGGAACAGAUCACCACUGCAAGAGGGGAAGUUGCUACUGUGAUGAAUUCUGCCAUGUGGUACCAGACUGCUACCCAGACCACAGUGUCCUCUGCAACCCUCCUUCUCAGAUGACCAAGAUGGUGCUGCAGAUGGUGCUGAGGAUGGAGAACCCACCAAGCCCCGCUAGGAGCCACCUAGACUGGAUGUAGAGCAUGAUUUGAAGAUUGUACCAGGAGAGCCGCAGUGUUCCAGAGCUACCGAGGGGCUGGGCCGGGAUUUGCUGUAUUUGAGAAGACCCCCCUGGACCCGAGAGGCUGUGGGCUUGGGGAGCAUGAGGAGGUUUCACAGCAGAAAGGACACCCCGGGGCUCCUGGAUCGGAAAAUGUGCCAGGGGAAAUCGGGCUCCAAGGGCACCACUCUGGGCUUCCAGCUGUGUAGGCUGGACCAAGAAGG
This 499-nucleotide long non-coding RNA is filed under the name Pan troglodytes (chimpanzee). RNAcentral's name for it is "lincRNA". The record is from RNAcentral. Lineage: Eukaryota; Metazoa; Chordata; Mammalia; Primates; Hominidae.